Molecule: ribosomal RNA, 293 nt
Filed under: uncultured bacterium
Lineage: Bacteria
Description: partial 16S ribosomal RNA
Source: RNAcentral
GGACUACUGGGGUAUCUAAUCCCGUUCGCUCCCCACGCUUUCGCGCCUCAGCGUCAGUGUUAGCCCAGGGACCCGCCUUCGCCACCGGUGUUCCUCCUGAUAUCUACGCAUUUCACCGCUACACCAGGAAUUCCGGUCCCCCCUGCCACACUCAAGUUCCCCAGUAUCCAGGGCACUGUUCGCGUUGAGCGCUGAACCUUUCACCCCAGACUUAAAGAACCGCCUACGCGCGCUUUACGCCCAGUAAAUUCGGACAACGCUCGCCCCCUACGUAUUACCGCGGCUGCUGGCAC